RNAcentral lists this ribosomal RNA (253 nucleotides) under uncultured bacterium. RNAcentral describes it as "partial 16S ribosomal RNA". It matches the Rfam family "Bacterial small subunit ribosomal RNA", at positions 524 to 776 of the family's 1533-position model. The record is from RNAcentral.
UACAGAGGUCUCAAGCGUUGUUCGGAUUCAUUGGGCGUAAAGGGUGCGUAGGCGGCGCGGUAAGUCGGGUGUGAAAUCUCGGGGCUUAACUCCGAAACUGCACUUGAUACUGCUCUGCUUGAGGACUGGAGAGGAGACUGGAAUUCACGGUGUAGCAGUGAAAUGCGUAGAUAUCGUGAGGAAGACCAGUGGCGAAGGCGGGUCUCUGGACAGUUCCUGACGCUGAGGCGCGAAGGCCAGGGGAGCAAACGGG